This 549-nucleotide ribosomal RNA is filed under the name Chaetopsina fulva. RNAcentral's name for it is "eukaryotic LSU rRNA". The stretch from base 179 to 332 matches the Rfam family "5.8S ribosomal RNA". The record is from RNAcentral. Lineage: Eukaryota; Fungi; Ascomycota; Sordariomycetes; Hypocreales; Nectriaceae.
CCGAGUUUCAACUCCCAAACCCCUGUGAACAUACCUUUUUGUUGCCUCGGCGGGAGGCCCCGGGGGACGGCUUCGGCCGCCCUCCCGGAUCCCAUGGCUGCCCGCCGGAGGACCCAAACCUCUGUUUUAGAAUUAAAUCUUCUUCUGAGUACCUAGGCGAAAGCCGAAAAUAAAUCAAAACUUUCAACAACGGAUCUCUUGGCUCUGGCAUCGAUGAAGAACGCAGCGAAAUGCGAUAAGUAAUGUGAAUUGCAGAAUUCAGUGAAUCAUCGAAUCUUUGAACGCACAUUGCGCCCGCUAGUAUUCUGGCGGGCAUGCCUGUUCGAGCGUCAUUUCAACCCUCAUGCCCCCUGUGGGCGUGGUGUUGGGGAUCAGGAACCCGCCCCCCUCGGGAGGCGGCUCUGUCCCCUAAAUCUAGUGGCGGUCUCGCUGUAGCUUCCUCUGCGUAGUAGCACACCUCGCACCGGAAAGCAGCGCGGCCACGCCGUUAAACCCCCAACUUUUCAAGGUUGACCUCGAAUCAGGUAGGAAUACCCGCUGAACUUAAGC